UACAGAGGGUGCGAGCGUUAAUCGGAAUUACUGGGCGUAAAGCGUGCGUAGACGGCUAUCUAAGUCGGGUGUGAAAGCCCCGGGCUCAACCUGGGAAUUGCAGUCGAGACUGAAUAGCUAGGGUACGGUAGAGGGAAGCGGAAUUUCCGGUGUAGCGGUGAAAUGCGUAGAUAUAGGAAGGAAUACCAGUGGCGAAGGCGGCCUCCUGGAUCGAUACUGACGCUGAGGCGCGAAAGCGUGGGGAGCAAACAGG
Molecule: ribosomal RNA, 253 nt
Filed under: uncultured bacterium
Lineage: Bacteria
Description: partial 16S ribosomal RNA
Rfam family: Bacterial small subunit ribosomal RNA
Source: RNAcentral